Molecule: ribosomal RNA, 501 nt
Filed under: uncultured bacterium
Lineage: Bacteria
Description: bacterial SSU rRNA
Rfam family: Bacterial small subunit ribosomal RNA
Source: RNAcentral
AGAGUUUGAUCAUGGCUCAGAUUGAACGCUGGCGGAAUGCUUUACACAUGCAAGUCGAACGGCAGCACGGGGCAACCUGGUGGCGAGUGGCGAACGGGUGAGUAAUAUAUCGGAACGUGCCCAAUCGUGGGGAUAACGUAGCGAAAGUUACGCUAAUACCGCAUACGAUCUACGGAUGAAAGCGGGGGAUCGCAAGACCUCGCGCGAAUGGAGCGGCCGAUAUCAGAUUAGGUAGUUGGUGGGGUAAAGGCUCACCAAGCCAACGAUCUGUAGCUGGUCUGAGAGGACGACCAGCCACACUGGAACUGAGACACGGUCCAGACUCCUACGGGAGGCAGCAGUGGGGAAUUUUGGACAAUGGGCGCAAGCCUGAUCCAGCCAUUCCGCGUGCAGGAUGAAGGCCUUCGGGUUGUAAACUGCUUUUGUACGGAACGAAACGGUCUGCCCUAAUACGGCGGGCUAAUGACGGUACCGUAAGAAUAAGCACCGGCUAACUACGUG